This 425-nucleotide ribosomal RNA is filed under the name uncultured bacterium. RNAcentral describes it as "partial 16S ribosomal RNA". It matches the Rfam family "Bacterial small subunit ribosomal RNA", at positions 354 to 796 of the family's 1533-position model. The record is from RNAcentral.
GUGGGGAAUAUUGGACAAUGGGCGAAAGCCUGAUCCAGCAAUGCCGCGUGAGUGAUGAAGGCCUUAGGGUUGUAAAGCUCUUUUACCCGGGAAGAUAAUGACUGUACCGGGAGAAUAAGCCCCGGCUAACUCCGUGCCAGCAGCCGCGGUAAUACGGAGGGGGCUAGCGUUGUUCGGAAUUACUGGGCGUAAAGCGCACGUAGGCGGUUUUGUAAGUUAGAGGUGAAAGCCUGGGGCUCAACCCCAGAAUUGCCUUUAAGACUGCAUCACUUGAACGUCGGAGAGGUGAGUGGAAUUCCGAGUGUAGAGGUGAAAUUCGUAGAUAUUCGGAAGAACACCAGUGGCGAAGGCGGCUCACUGGACGACUGUUGACGCUGAGGUGCGAAAGCGUGGGGAGCAAACAGGAUUAGAAACCCGGGUAGUCC